UACAGAGGGUGCGAGCGUUAUUCGGAAUUACUGGGCGUAAAGCGCACGUAGGCGGCUUUGCAAGUCGGUUGUGAAAUCCCCGGGCUCAACCUGGGAACUGCAUCCGAGACUGCAUUGCUAGAGUAUGGGAGAGGAAAGCGGAAUUUCUGGUGUAGCAGUGAAAUGCGUAGAUAUCAGAAGGAACAUCAGUGGCGAAGGCGGCUUUCUGGACCAAUACUGACGAUCAGGUGCGAAAGCGUGGGGAGCAAACAGG
RNAcentral lists this ribosomal RNA (253 nucleotides) under uncultured bacterium. RNAcentral describes it as "partial 16S ribosomal RNA". It matches the Rfam family "Bacterial small subunit ribosomal RNA", at positions 524 to 776 of the family's 1533-position model. The record is from RNAcentral.